Xiphophorus hellerii (green swordtail) is the source of this 304-nucleotide long non-coding RNA. RefSeq lists it as uncharacterized. The transcript has 2 exons. NCBI's taxonomy places the organism in Eukaryota, Metazoa, Chordata, Actinopteri, Cyprinodontiformes, Poeciliidae. The record is from RefSeq and is a predicted model, not a curated record.
ACUUGAUCUUGGCAGAUAUUUUACUCAAAACACACUCUGAUAUUGAAUCUAAAAAUUCAUUCUGAGUGCACCAUGUCAGAUAUCCAGUGGUUUUUCACUAUCAAUAGUCUUACCUAGGCGUAAGCGAGAUGCCAUUUCUUUCCACGUCAGAUAAGCAUUUAUGUGAGAACUACUGGUUUCAUGGUGCUUCAGUGUUUUUGAAAGACAUCGCCAGUUAUUAUACCCCUCCACAAGGCAUGUGUCAAGAACUUUAGCUUCACCAAAAAGCUUACAUGCAAAACAAUAGACUCUGUUAGUAUUUUUA